Molecule: ribosomal RNA, 760 nt
Filed under: Salmonella enterica subsp. enterica serovar Paratyphi B var. L(+) tartrate +
Lineage: Bacteria; Pseudomonadati; Pseudomonadota; Gammaproteobacteria; Enterobacterales; Enterobacteriaceae
Description: partial 23S ribosomal RNA
Rfam family: Bacterial large subunit ribosomal RNA
Source: RNAcentral
CCAAGGCUAAAUACUCCUGACUGACCGAUAGUGAACCAGUACCGUGAGGGAAAGGCGAAAAGAACCCCGGCGAGGGGAGUGAAAAAGAACCUGAAACCGUGUACGUACAAGCAGUGGGAGCACAGGUUUACCUGUGUGACUGCGUACCUUUUGUAUAAUGGGUCAGCGACUUAUAUUCUGUAGCAAGGUUAACCGUAUAGGGGAGCCGGAGGGAAACCGAGUCUUAAUUGGGCGUUAAGUUGCAGGGUAUAGACCCGAAACCCGGUGAUCUAGCCAUGGGCAGGUUGAAGGUUGGGUAACACUAACUGGAGGACCGAACCGACUAAUGUUGAAAAAUUAGCGGAUGACCUGUGGCUGGGGGUGAAAGGCCAAUCAAACCGGGAGAUAGCUGGUUCUCCCCGAAAGCUAUUUAGGUAGCGCCUCGUGAAUUCAUCUCCGGGGGUAGAGCACUGUUUCGGCUAGGGGGCCAUCCCGGCUUACCAACCCGAUGCAAACUGCGAAUACCGGAGAAUGUUAUCACGGGAGACACACGGCGGGUGCUAACGUCCGUCGUGAAGAGGGAAACAACCCAGACCGCCAGCUAAGGUCCCAAAGUCAUGGUUAAGUGGGAAACGAUGUGGGAAGGCCCAGACAGCCAGGAUGUUGGCUUAGAAGCAGCCAUCAUUUAAAGAAAGCGUAAUAGCUCACUGGUCGAGUCGGCCUGCGCGGAAGAUGUAACGGGGCUAAACCAUGCACCGAAGCUGCGGCAGCGACGCUUAUG